This 253-nucleotide ribosomal RNA is filed under the name uncultured bacterium. RNAcentral's name for it is "partial 16S ribosomal RNA". It matches the Rfam family "Bacterial small subunit ribosomal RNA", at positions 524 to 776 of the family's 1533-position model. The record is from RNAcentral.
UACGGAGGAGGCGAGCGUUAUCCGGAAUUAUUGGGCGUAAAGCGUCCGCAGGUGGCGCUUCAAGUCUGCGGUCAAAGACUGGGGCUUAACCCUGGAAAGGCCGUGGAAACUGAAUAGCUAGAGUGCAGUAGGGGUAGAGGGAAUUCCCGGUGUAGCGGUGAAAUGCGUAGAGCUCGGGAAGAACAUCGGUGGCGAAAGCGCUCUGCUGGACUGCAACUGACACUCAGGGACGAAAGCUAGGGGAGCGAAUGGG